UGGUAUGGCAUGUCAGCAGGCUUGAGGCUUGUUUGUACUUGGAUGGGAGGCUCCUGGGAAUACCAGGUGCUGUAUACU
Molecule: ribosomal RNA, 78 nt
Filed under: Amphilophus citrinellus (Midas cichlid)
Lineage: Eukaryota; Metazoa; Chordata; Actinopteri; Cichliformes; Cichlidae
Source: RNAcentral